Molecule: long non-coding RNA, 539 nt
Organism: Oncorhynchus tshawytscha (Chinook salmon)
Lineage: Eukaryota; Metazoa; Chordata; Actinopteri; Salmoniformes; Salmonidae
Exons: 3
Source: RefSeq, a predicted model, not a curated record
UGAGUGUAUGUGGAUGGGUAAGACACUCUCUCUCCCAUCCUGGGAGUAACUGCUUGUGUUAGUUCCUUUCUGUAGGCUGUGUGAGUGUGUGUUUGGGUGUGUGUGUGAGAGAGAGAGAGAGAGAAAGGGAGAGAGUAGCGCUUUACGUUUCACCUCCCUGUCUCCCUGUUCCCUGUCCUUCCUCUCCUCUCUACUCCUCUCUCGUUCCCUCUCCUGGACUACCCAUUGGGACCUACCCAGACUCCUUCCCUGCCUGGACCCUCCACUCUCCAUCCCUGUGACUCUCCUCAUCUGUCCAUCCCUCCCUCUCCCAGGUCAAGUCUCCGGGUGGAUCAGAAGUGGAGAGGUGGAGUCUUCCAUGUUAUUCUGGAAUGUGGGAUAAGACAGGGUCCCAUGACAUGGACCCCUCUUUGAAUGGGUUGAUGCUGGUUCUGCUGGAGUGGAGCUGAUGAUCUGAACCAGUCUGUCAGCCACCUAGCUCCCCCUCCUCUAAACACAACCACUGCCCAUGUCCUGAUCCCAGUGGUCCAGCUUGUCUG